CGCACAUUGCGCCCUUUGGUAUUCCGAAGGGCAUGCCUGUUCGAGCGUCAUUAUCACCUCUCAAACUCUCUUUGUUUGUAGUUGGGACAUAGCUUGGAUUUCCAAGCUAGUCUUCGAAGAUAAUGAUGGUGUCGUUGAGAUUCUCGGUACAAUGAGCUUUCAUUAGCACGUACUAGAACGAUUUCAAUGACCUGUCUAUAACGACCAAUUUCUAUGGUUGACCUCGGAUCAGGUAGGAAUACCCGCUGAACUUAA
RNAcentral lists this unclassified non-coding RNA (255 nucleotides) under Pyricularia sp. RNAcentral's name for it is "partial contains 5.8S ribosomal RNA, internal transcribed spacer 2, and large subunit ribosomal RNA". The record is from RNAcentral. Lineage: Eukaryota; Fungi; Ascomycota; Sordariomycetes; Magnaporthales; Pyriculariaceae.